UUGUAAUUCUCACGAUCUCUCUAUAUUUUACUCUUUCUUUCUCAUUUGUGUUCACUUGUUCUAGAGAGAAAACAAGAACACAUUUACUUUAAUCUUCUACAUUGAUAAUUGCUUGGAUACUUUUCUUACAAGACACACACACAUACAUAUAGUGGUUUUUUCUCCACUUGCUACACUACACUCACUUAGACUCGAGACCAUACUUCUAGUCAUCAUUGCCCUAAGACUAGAACCAAGCUUACAAGCAAAGAACUACUAAACCUUACACAACAACAACUCCACUCUACUCUAGCUAAAAUCAUAAGCAAACUCCAACAACUAUUAGUUGGACAAGCUAACAACAACACUAACACAUGUUUGGGCCUAACUAAACAAUUAGCCCAAUCCCUUUUAUUAUUACAAAACAACAAGUCCAACUUCUUCUACCUUGUUGACUUGUUCUAUUGUUGUCGUUGACCUCUUUCACGACAACUUCUCUUCUUCGCUAGCUUCUUCUCUUUGCUCUGUUCUUCUUCUUCUUCUCACUAAAGCUUUCUCCUUUGUUGCAGGUUUAAUCAAGAACUCAAUCUCAACACUCCCUCUUGAGUUCUUCGAUUAAAUCCCCAAUUUCAAUUUUAGGGCUUUUUUUUUUUUUUUUUGAAUCUAAUGUUAAAUUAUAUUCAAAAGAAAAAAUAAACGGUUUUACAACUUGUGCAACGGUUUGCUUAAAGAGAAAAGUUGAGUGAACAGAAAUUUUAAAAAAAAAAAACCCUUAAGGUUUAGCUUUGAUCCAAGUUUGGUAGGCUGCUUCGAAUCGCAUGUCACCUUUGAUGCGAAUCGCCGAGAUCCGAUUCCUUACUUGCUUAUCAAUCCAUGCAAUUAGGCAUUCUUCCGAGUGCGGGCUCUCCCCAUGUCGUCUCCCAUUCCUUUCCUUCCAUAUCAUGUAGACAGCGACUUGAAGAACGUAUCGAAUAAGGAAUCCUUCUACGCGUUCAAGUCGUUGGUUUGAAAUGUAGUCGAGAAUGAGUGACCAGUCUGUUGUGUACCUUGCUUUUAGAAGCCCCUUUGCUAGGGCUGCCCAGAUUUUUGAACCGUACUGACAUGAGAAAUAAAGGUGAUCUCGAGUCUCCAAAUGGUGCUGACAGAGGAUGCAAUUUCCCGGAGCUCCGUGGUUCCAUUUAAUCAUACGAUCCCCCGUUGAAAGUCUAUUGUGGGCUGCCAACCACAUGCAGAAUGAAUAUUUUGGUGUUGCGUGUGCAAACCAAACUCCUCGAUGCCACGAGACUGUGGUGGCUGUUGUUCGAAUAUGGUUCCAAGUAUCCUUUGUUGAGAACUUUGGCCUGAAUGUGUCCCUUUUUCCCCUCCAAAGAAAUCGAUCCUCAUUUCCAUUCCUUUGUUGACGUUGCAGGUGCAAUUCAUCUUCAAUGAUGUUUAAAAGGCAUGUGCGGUGUCUACGCCGUCUAUGGUUUGUCCAAACAUUCGCCAGAGAGCUUUUCUUGCUUAUUCCCAUGUCGAUAAAGCCCCGAGAUCCUACAUUUUCCAGUAGACUGCCCAUUGAUGACCAAUUAUCAUACCAGAAAAAAGUUUUCUCCCCAUUACAUACUUCUACUCGACAAAAAGGUUUUGCCAUAGUUCUGUAUUUGAGAAGCUUUCUCCAUAUCCAUGAACCCACUAUGGUACCAUUGGUAAGCGACCAUAGAGAAUCCUGCUUGAGUAUGAAUGUCUGAAUCCAGUUAACCCAUAGAGAAUUGCUGUGCGAGACUAUACGCCAGAUGAGCUUUAAACAACAAACGGUGUAAGCCUCUUUGAGUGAUCGCAGUCCCAAACCACCUUCCUGUUUUGGCCUGCAAACUUGUUCCCAUGAAAUCUUAGCUUUAUGUGAAUUUAGAUCAGUUCCCGACCAAAGAAAAGCAGAACAGAGUUUUUCAACUUCCCGGAUACAUGCGUUUGGUAGUCGAUAGGCUGCUAACCAAAAAUUGCAGAUGCUCCAUAGGAUUGAGGAGAUUAGAUUCAGUCGUCCUGCAAAAGAGAGGAAACGUGAGGUCCACGACUCUAUUCUCUUCCGGAUUUGUUCAACUAAUGGUCUAUAAUCUGCAGCUGAAAGCCUCUUCGUGACUAAUGGAAGUCCAAGAUAACGGACCGGGAGAUGACCUAUUUCAAAAGGGAAGCGUGAUGCAAUCUGACCAGUAGGUGCAACCGUGCUGCCUGCCAAGUAAAGAGUAGACUUUUCCAUACUUAUUUUCAAUCCCGAGCAUUUAGCGAAGUCACCAAAAACCUUAACGAUGCCUUCAACAGAGCGAACCUGUCCAUCCGAUAAAACCAUAAGAUCAUCCGCAAAACUCAAGUGAGUGAGGCCCAACUUUUUACACCGUGGGUGGUAUCCAAAUUUUUUUUCUUCUGCGGCUCUAUCAAGCAGUUUUGAAAGCACAUCCAUACUGAUUACAAAUAGGUAUGGUGAAAGCGAACAGCCUUGUCUUAAACCUCGAGAACUUCUAAAAUAUCCUGCUAAUUCUCCAUUAACUUGAACCGAGAAAGAAGCCGUAGAAACACAAAGCAUAAUCCAAUGAAUAAACGUUGGCGGGAAGUUUAGAGCUGAGAGGACCUUACUCAAAAAUGACCAUUGAACAGAAUCAAAGGCUUUUGAAAUGUCGAUCUUUAUGGCACAACGAGAAGAAAUGGAGUCCAUUAUGGUAGUCUUUGACCAGUUCUGUGGCAAGAAGCACAUUUUCAAUCAAAAGGCGGUCUUGGACAAAUGCCGAUUGGUUCGCAGCAAUAAACCGUGGUAGAACAACCUUGAGCCGGUUUGCAAUGAUUUUGGAGAUCACUUUGUAUAGUACAUUACAGCAAGAAAUAGGCCUAAAAUCCUUCAUCUCCUUAGCACCUUUCUUUUUAGGAAUGAGUGCUAGAAUGGUAGAAUUAAUUCCCUUUGGUAAGAAUCCUUUUGCAAAAAAAGAUUGGACCGCCAAGAUAAAUUCUGUACCGAUCAGCUCCCAAGCUGCUUUAUAAAAUUCCGAGGUAUAACCGUCCGGGCCAGGAGAUUUGUCAUUCGGCAUUGAGAACAAAACCUUCUUGAUUUCUUCCCCUGAUAUAAUACGGGUGAGGUUUUGGUGAUCCAAAUCAGAACAGCGGAAAUGCAAUAGAUGUUGAAGCUCCUCAACAGUUGUUCCUUCAAAAUCGUGUGGGACGUGUUGCAAGAAUUCCCGAAAAUGAUUUUCAGCCUCAGCUUUUAUGUCGUCUUCAAGUAUAAGGACCCGACCAUCCGGACAUAGAACUUCCUUUAUACUGUUUGUUGCUUCCCAUAUGACAGCUGCUCUAUGAAACAUUUUGUUGUUCUGGUCACCCACAUUUAGCCAAUGUAGCUUAGAUUUCUGCUUGAGAUACUUCUCUUCAAGUCCUGCCACUAGUUCCCAUCUUUUGUAAGCCUCAUUUUCUUCUUCCAUCAAAAUGGUGCUUGGAUUCAUCAAGUUUGCUUGCUGCUUUUGACAGAGAAUGUCAUAUGCCUCCUUUGCCUUUUUUACCAAAUCUCCGACCCGUUCUUUUGCAAGAAUCCGCAGCUUCGGUUUGAGUCCUUUUAGUUUCUUGGAAAACCGAAACAGAGUUGAUGUAGACAAAAAAAGUUCUUCGGACUCUUUCCAAUGAUUCUCCACCAUUGGUAAAAAUUCGGGCAUCUCUGUGAGUACAUUUACGAAUUUGAAUGGUUUUCGGCGGCGAGUAACCCUACUUACUUCCCCGAUUUGCAUUAUCCGACCCCGUAAAUGAUCCGAGCAACCUCCUGCUUCGAAUACAUUAUACGCUUGCGGAAAUGCUCUUAACCAUGCAUCAUUCAUUAAUACUCUAUCCAAUUUCUUCAAAAUUAGAUCAUUUUCUCGCUUGUUACACCAAGUGUACAAAGGGCCAUGAGAUGCCAUAUCGGAUAUUGAGCAAUAAUUCACCAACGCCUGAAAGUCCCUCAUCCCCAAUGUGACCAGCGGGUUAUUAUCCACUUUAGAAUGUUCUGCCAUGUCUAGUGUCACGUUAAAAUCACCAAUAAUUAACCAAGGCUUAUGGUGAAUAAUAGGUGAAUCUGCAUAAUCUCUUAGUUCCUGCCAUAAUACUCUUCUUUCCUCAACUUGAUUCGAAGCAUACACAAAUGAGGCGAAGAACUCCUCCUCUUGGUUCUCCAACUUCACCGAACAAGUAAUUACUUGAUCACUCUUAUAAAAAGGACUUAGUCUCACAUUAUGCUGCCAUAAUACCCAUAUGCGACCUCUUGCAUUAUACUCAUAGUUUGUUAAAAUGGACCAGUCUCGAAAUAAAUGGUGCCCCAACCUCUGCGCCUUCCCCUCCCUAACUCUCGUUUCCAACAAGCAACCAAACUGAAAAUUAUUACCAUCAACCCACUUUUUUAUUACGGAAUGUUUUGAAGUUUUGUUGAGGCCACGAACAUUCCAUAAGAAACCCGACAUUUAAGAGUGCUUGGGGGGAAUCCUCUUACUCUGAUCUCUAGAGGAGUCUCUAGUCGAUGGAGCUUGAAGGUGAGAUAGUGUUUUAUGGGCUGUUUUCGAUUCCCUCGGCAAAGAUGGUCGCAAAGAUCCCUCCUUUUGAGAACGACUCUUUGCAGCUGCACCUUGUUUUUGAGUAGACACAUUGACUAUAUUCGCUGAAGUUAUGGGAUUAGUCACAGAAUUCUUUCCCACAAGGUCCUCUGUUUUGUCUAUCUCUGUUUCUUCUCCUUCCAGAUCCAAAACAGAGUAUGUAUUGGUUAGGAGAGAGACUUCCCCAAAUCGUAAUCCAUCCUUUUUCUUUCCCGGGCUGCUUCUUCCUCCCGACUUUGGAGUGACCCACCCUUCAGUCUCCUCCACAAUCUUCUCUACAGCUACCGCCUUGUUUUUUUUCUCCUCAGUAGCACAGUCUAUUAUAGUCGUAACUGUUUCAGUUUCCGGUAUAAUAGGGCUAGCAUUGGUCUCCUUCUUCUUCUUCUUCGAUAGAUCGCCUCUCUUCUCUUCUUCGGCGAGCAUCUCCUUCUUGCUUCUAUUCCUUUUAUUCGAGCUUCUUUCUCUAUCGUGGUGCAAAGCUUCUCCAACGACAGCUAGAGGUCACAACUCUCAUCGAUCACCAGUCACCGUCACGAUGAAAGUCUCUGCCGCCGUCUUCAACCACCACUUUGGUAAGUUGGCUCUUCUUAUCCCUCUUAAGCUGGAUCCCCAUGGAUCCAGUUUCUUUACUUUGCGAAUUUUUUUGUCAUCUUUUUGACAGAUUUUCUUCGCUCUCUUCCUCUGAUUUCCUUUACCGUGAGCUCCGUCACGUCUCUUGCUCGGCUGACAUUGCAACCGGCUGCUCCCUUUCUCUUUAGGUGAGCAUCUUUUCUCUCUUGCUUGGUGUCACUGUGAUCACCAGCCUCUUUCUUCUCCUUUUUUUUUUUUUUUUUUUUUCGAUUCUCAGAACCAUCACCUUUGGCUUUAGCUUUAGGACACUUUUUCUCUGACUUGAACCACCACCUCGGCUUUCACUACCGUAGUAUGGUUGGCUUCUCCUCAAGUCAUCACCUUAGCUUUAGCAUUGGUCGUUUGGUUCCUCAAAUCUGCACCUCGGUUUUUUCUCUAACCUUAGCAUGUUAGGCUCUUGAAUCAUCAACCUCCGCUUUCUCGGACUUGGUUUGUUUGAUCCUUCACCUCCACUUUGGUCAUUCUAACCUUGGCUUCUCUUUCUCCUUCUCGUUUCAGCUUAGGAACCCCUUCGGAUUCUCAGCCUCAACAAGCAUCUUCAAGCUUCACCAAUACAAUAUCGAAGAAGGAUUGAAUUCAUCACCUUUCACAACACCAUCUCCACACCGUUGUCUUCAUUGCUUCUUCCAGAAGAUCUCCUUGUCUCCUUGGAUGCACCUGAAGCCCUCCUUCUCUAAGGUACGGUGUGAAAUAGUUUGUGUAGGUUGGUGGUGCCCUUGUCACCACAUCUCUUUCCUUCUCUUCUUCUCCGACAUAGUCUCUCUGGUUUUGCUCUCCUUUUCUCUUCUUUCUUUUUUUUUUCUCCUUCAGCAGCAUCUCGGGCUGCAUCAUCUCUUCCUCUUCUUACAGCCUUUUGUGCUGUGUCUUACACCCUUCUUCUUUUCUUCAGUCUCUGUCUUAGACUGACAUCUUCUCCCUCUCGGCCUCACCUUUCUCACGAUCUCUCUAUAUUUUACUCUUUCUUUCUCAUUUGUGUUCACUUGUUCUAGAGAGAAAACAAGAACACAUUUACUUUAAUCUUCUACAUUGAUAAUUGCUUAGAUACUUUUCUUACAAGACACACACACAUACAUAUAGUGGUUUUUUCUCCACUUGCUACAUUACACUCACUUAGACUCGAGACCAUACUUCUAGUCAUCAUUACCCUAAGACUAGAACCAAGCUUACAAGCAAAGAACUACUAAACCUUACACAACAACAACUCCACUCUACUCUAGCUAAAAUCAUAAGCAAACUCCAACAACUAUUAGUUGGACAAGCUAACAACAACACUAACACAUGUUUGGGCCUAACUAAACAAUUAGCCCAAUCCCUUUUAUUAUUACAAAACAACAAGUCCAACUUCUUCUACCUUGUUGACUUGUUCUAUUGUUGUCGUUGACCUCUUUCACGACAACUUCUCUUCUUCGCUAGCUUCUUCUCUUUGCUCUGUUCUUCUUCUUCUUCUCACUAAAGCUUUCUCCUUUGUUGCAG
RNAcentral lists this long non-coding RNA (6656 nucleotides) under Arabidopsis lyrata. Its description in RNAcentral is "long non-coding RNA (ALYR_LNC003325)". The record is from RNAcentral. Lineage: Eukaryota; Viridiplantae; Streptophyta; Magnoliopsida; Brassicales; Brassicaceae.